AAGUCGUAACAAGGUUUCCGUAGGUGAACCUGCGGAAGGAUCAUUAACACGUAUCCAACGUUAAACCCCCUGUGAACCUUCAUUGUACGAGUUACAUCCACGUCAUAAACCGGCAAUCUCUGGUAAAUCAUCGCCGAACAGUUUUGAUUCAGAGACCUCUGGGAAGGGUGUACGGUAGUGCGAGGCAAUUGACCUGGCAUUCCUCUGCUUGUUAGUGUCUGAAAGUGUCACUAGCUAUGUACGGAUGGCGCAGUAACGAUCGCUGGAGGCCGACACGGCCGGCGACCAGGUCACUGGGCUAGGUGCGGCCACCCCUAAUGCUUGAACAACUGUUAACAAUGGAUAUCUUGGUUCUC
RNAcentral lists this unclassified non-coding RNA (356 nucleotides) under fungal sp. RNAcentral describes it as "partial internal transcribed spacer region". The stretch from base 1 to 46 matches the Rfam family "Eukaryotic small subunit ribosomal RNA", at positions 1786 to 1831 of the family's 1831-position model. Lineage: Eukaryota; Fungi. The record is from RNAcentral.